AGAUUGAACGCUGGCGGCAUGCCUUACACAUGCAAGUCGAACGGCAGCACGGGAGCAAUCCUGGUGGCGAGUGGCGAACGGGUGAGUAAUACAUCGGAACGUGCCCAAUCGUGGGGGAUAACGCAGCGAAAGCUGUGCUAAUACCGCAUAAGAUCUACGGAUGAAAGCAGGGGAUCGCAAGACCUUGCGCGAAUGGAGCGGCCGAUGGCAGAUUAGGUAGUUGGUGAGGUAAAGGCUCACCAAGCCUUCGAUCUGUAGCUGGUCUGAGAGGACGACCAGCCACACGUGGGACUGAGACACGG
This 302-nucleotide ribosomal RNA is filed under the name uncultured soil bacterium. Its description in RNAcentral is "bacterial SSU rRNA". It matches the Rfam family "Bacterial small subunit ribosomal RNA", at positions 26 to 329 of the family's 1533-position model. The record is from RNAcentral.